UCUCUGGUGGCUUAGAUGGUAAAGAAUCUACCUGCAAUGCGGAAGACCCAGGUUCAAUCCCUGGAUUGGGAA
This is a non-coding RNA of Bos taurus (domestic cattle), 72 nucleotides long. Lineage: Eukaryota; Metazoa; Chordata; Mammalia; Artiodactyla; Bovidae. The record is from Rfam.